UACGGGAGGCAGCAGUGAGGGAAUAUUGGUCAAUGGACGAGAGUCUGAACCAGCCAAGUCGCGUGAAGGAUGACUGCCCUAUGGGUUGUAAACUUCUUUUGUGCUAGAGUAAAAAAGAGUAUGUAUACUCUCUUGCAAGUAUAGUACGAAUAAGCAUCGGCUAACUCCGUGCCAGCAGCCGCGGUAAUACGGAGGAUGCGAGCGUUAUCCGGAUUUAUUGGGUUUAAAGGGUGCGUAGGCGGGAGUUUAAGUCAGCGGUGAAAGUUUGAGGCUCAACCUUAAAAUUGCCGUUGAAACUGGAUUUCUUGAGUGUAUUUGAAGUAGGCGGAAUUCGUUGUGUAGCGGUGAAAUGCAUAGAUAUAACGAAGAACUCCAAUUGCGCAGGCAGCUUACUAAACUACAACUGACGCUGAAGCACGAAAGCGUGGGUAUCAAACAGGAUUAGAUACCCUGGUAGUCCACGCAGUAAACGAUGAUUACUAGCUGUUUGUGAUAUUACAAUAAGUGGCUAAGCGAAAGCGAUAAGUAAUCCACCUGGGGAGUACGCCGGCAACGGUGAAACUCAAAGGAAUUGACGG
This 578-nucleotide ribosomal RNA is filed under the name uncultured bacterium. RNAcentral describes it as "bacterial SSU rRNA". It matches the Rfam family "Bacterial small subunit ribosomal RNA", at positions 340 to 916 of the family's 1533-position model. The record is from RNAcentral.